UGAGGAAUAUUGGUCAAUGGGCGAGAGCCUGAACCAGCCAAGUAGCGUGCAGGAUGACGGCCCUAUGGGUUGUAAACUGCUUUUAUGUGGGGAUAAAGUGCGUGACGUGUCAUGCAUUGCAGGUACCACAUGAAUAAGGACCGGCUAAUUCCGUGCCAGCAGCCGCGGUAAUACGGAAGGUCCGGGCGUUAUCCAGAUUUAUUGGGUUUAAAGGGAGCGUAGGCUGUCUAUUAAGCGUGUUGUGAAAUUUACCGGCUCAACCGGUGGCUUGCAGCGCGAACUGGUCGACUUGAGUAUGCAGGAAGUAGGCGGAAUUCAUGGUGUAGCGGUGAAAUGCUUAGAUAUCAUGACGAACUCCGAUUGCGCAGGCAGCUUACUGUAGCAUAACUGACGCUGAUGCUCGAAAGUGCGGGUAUCAAACAGG
Molecule: ribosomal RNA, 424 nt
Filed under: Fusobacteriota bacterium
Lineage: Bacteria; Fusobacteriati; Fusobacteriota
Description: Fusobacteria bacterium partial 16S ribosomal RNA
Rfam family: Bacterial small subunit ribosomal RNA
Source: RNAcentral